Molecule: ribosomal RNA, 527 nt
Filed under: Staphylococcus agnetis
Lineage: Bacteria; Bacillati; Bacillota; Bacilli; Caryophanales; Staphylococcaceae
Description: bacterial SSU rRNA
Rfam family: Bacterial small subunit ribosomal RNA
Source: RNAcentral
GUAACGGCUUACCAAGGCGACGAUACGUAGCCGACCUGAGAGGGUGAUCGGCCACACUGGAACUGAGACACGGUCCAGACUCCUACGGGAGGCAGCAGUAGGGAAUCUUCCGCAAUGGGCGAAAGCCUGACGGAGCAACGCCGCGUGAGUGAUGAAGGUCUUCGGAUCGUAAAGCUCUGUUGUUAGGGAAGAACAUAUGUGUAAGUAACUGUGCGCAUCUUGACGGUACCUAACCAGAAAGCCACGGCUAACUACGUGCCAGCAGCCGCGGUAAUACGUAGGUGGCAAGCGUUAUCCGGAAUUAUUGGGCGUAAAGCGCGCGUAGGCGGUUUUUUAAGUCUGAUGUGAAAGCCCACGGCUCAACCGUGGAGGGUCAUUGGAAACUGGAAAACUUGAGUGCAGAAGAGGAAAGUGGAAUUCCAUGUGUAGCGGUGAAAUGCGCAGAGAUAUGGAGGAACACCAGUGGCGAAGGCGGCUUUCUGGGCUGUAACUGACGCUGAGGGGCGAAAGCGUGGGGAUCAAACAGG